RNAcentral lists this ribosomal RNA (250 nucleotides) under uncultured bacterium. RNAcentral describes it as "partial 16S ribosomal RNA". It matches the Rfam family "Bacterial small subunit ribosomal RNA", at positions 524 to 773 of the family's 1533-position model. The record is from RNAcentral.
UACGAGGGGGGCAAGCGUUGUUCGGAAUUAUUGGGCGUAAAGGGCGCGUAGGCGGUUUGACAAGUCUGAUGUGAAAUCUAUGGGCUCAACCCAUAGUCUGCAUUGGAAACUGUCGGGCUUGAGUAUGGGAGAGGUGAGUGGAAUUUCCGGUGUAGCGGUGAAAUGCGUAGAUAUCGGAAGGAACACCUGAGGCGAAAGCGGCUCACUGGACCAUAACUGACGCUGAGGCGCGAAAGCUAGGGGAGCAAAC